Non-coding RNA from Zootoca vivipara (common lizard), 11545 nucleotides. The record is from RefSeq and is a predicted model, not a curated record. NCBI's taxonomy places the organism in Eukaryota, Metazoa, Chordata, Lepidosauria, Squamata, Lacertidae.
AACAUGGUGCCAUGACUCAUGAGCAGAUGGCAUGGAGAUUAGAUUGAACCUUUAGGGUUCAAUUGCACAUACCGGUAGUUUUUGUUCACAUUCGAACACUUCUUAGCUGUUAAGCCACUGUCUUCUCUUCUGUCUCGAAGCUACGAACAUGAGUUUGAUCAAACUGGGGGAGGCAGUGCAAGACAGGAGUGCCUGGCGUGCUAUGGUCCAUGGGGUCACGAAGAGUCGGACACGACUAAACGACUAAACAACAACAAGCCACUGUCUUCACAUUCAUAUUAAACCCAAGUAGUAGCCAGGGCAUGUGUUCAGAUAGCUGCACAUGCAUCUUGUUUUUUUUAAAUAUCAUUCCUGCCCAGGAAGUGCAGAAAAGUCAGGCAAUUGUAAUUUCUGAGCAUAUACACUUCACCAUUUUUUAGUUUUGUGCAAAUAUGUUGGAUCAAAAGAAAUGCUAUCUCUCUAUGCUUCUCCAUUCAGGAGUGGGCCAGAAUAGUUACUAGCAUGGGUGGCAAAUAAAUGAAAGCACAAAGAAAGUAGUGGGUGAGGAAACCCAAAGUCAAAGGGAGCAUUGCUUCUGUCCAAAAUGAAUACAUUUAUAUACUUCCAUUAGAAGGCAGGCCUGUCUUUGUUAAAUGCAAGUCUGCCCUGGUCAUGCAUAGCCUGUGUAAGUGUGAGGUCACACACAUGUACCUAAUUUUAAGAGCAAGUGAAGGGUGAGGAGUGUUGAACCCUUCCCAUGAUCACCACUCACCUCCCUGCAACCUCUUUCCUCAGUCAACAUUAUCCCAUCAGGCUCACUUCCAGUACAAGGGAGGUAAGCUGCGGGCAGGGUGAGCAUUUAACAAUCCUCACCCACAACCCCCUCUUGCAUUUUGAGAUCAGGUCCUCCACUUUAUAGUCAUUGAGGCAGGUCUAGAUUUAAAAGGCAUGUUCCUGCCAUGUUUUGUUUGGCCAUUUAAUUCAGUUACCCACUUGAAAAUUUUAUGUAAGACACUGACUUUUCUGAGCAUGUUUCUGUACUGUAUUUUGUUUUACACAGUUUAAGAGCAAACAAACGCAGGGACUCUAUUACAUUCCUGCAAACAGCAGUAGUUAACAGGUAAUUAUCAGUAAAACAUUUAGCCACAGAAGCUUGGAUUCCCACCUACCAGUUGUCAACAAUAAAAGCUUGGAGACUCCACAGGCUAUUGGACAAACAGUCCACAGGGAUCCCCAGUCAGCACUCUUAAUGUAAAUAAACAGCCCUGCGUUGAGUGGAUAAACAAAAGCCUGGCUGUAAGUGAUCACAGGGAAGAGGGAGAGAUCAGGAAGCAGUAAAACUAUUAGAACAACAAGAAGUGAUUAACUUUAUAAGAAACCCAGCAUAUCAGCUAGGAUUCUGCUUUCAUCCGAUCACUUCAUAAGCUGUAUGCCAUUUGUGAAUUUGGAAGGCUGUUAAAAUGGAAAAGUUGCCAGUUUUUACUUGAAGGUGGCUCUGAGCUUUAACAGCUGAUAGGCAGAAGUUCAGCCAGAGGCAGUACACCUCUCAAUACCAGUUUCUGGGGAGAGAGUUGUCAUGCUCAUAGCUUGUGGGUUUCCCUGUCAUGGACUAGUUGGAUACAGAGGAAUUGUGGAAGGAACCAGCUGGGGAACCACCAAGGGGGAAAACCCCUGGGGAGUGAUGGUGGGACAACAAUGAGUGGUCAGAGGGAGAAGAUUGGGAAGAGGAGAUGUCAGAAGCUGAAGGGGUAACGGCUUAGUGAGCAGGGAGAGUCUAUGGCAGAGAGAAGUCCAGAAUCCAAGGCAGAAGCUGAUGCAAGAGGGUGGGAGGAGUGUGGUCAAGAGGCAGAGAUGAGUCAACCUGGUGAAGAGUCACAGGAGAGGCAUGAAAAGGGCGGAGCAAAGACAGAUGGCAUGCAGAUGCACUCUCCGAUUGCUUGGAACAAACCUGGUAGAGGAGGAGACACAGGCAGCUGUGGGAAGGCAGGGAUCUUUAGUCUUGGCAGCUGAUUUCAUGGAGUAAGACCUAUAGGCCAUGAGCUGCUGUGCUCAUUAGGCCUGACACUCAGCCAAGUCUGUGAAGAUCAUGGUUUUACUAAUGAUCUUGGUUUAACUCCAACUUUGAACUGUAUGAUUCACUAGCUGGCUCGCUCUGUGACAUUCCCAUGGGUAUCUGGUUGGCCACUGUGAGCACAGGAUGUGGGACUUAGAUGGGCCCUGGCAUGAUCCAAUCGGGCUCUUCUUUUUUCUACAGUGUAGCAUUUCCCACCUUGGAGAGAGAUUGAUGGGAGACACUGCACCAGUUGAAUUUCAGUCCAUCUGUUAAAGGCAAAGCAUCUUUGUCGAGACGAUGCCAGCCCACUUCACUUUACAUGUAUACAUAAUUUUAUUUGUAUGCCACCUUUUCACGGGUGAAGCCAUGCUGAAGGCGGCUUACAACAUGAAAAAAAUGUAACUACAACAUAACAGAAGUAGUCAUAAACAAUAAAUAAAACAUUGAAAAAUACAAAGCCAAACUGAACAAUUUCCACAUAAAUCACAACAAAAUCUAAAAUAAAGAUGAAAAAAACAACAACCAAUAAUAACAAUCACCACCCAGCAACCACCCCAGGCACUACGCCAGCCUAUUAUUUGAUCCUAACUUUAUUUUUGCUUUGAAUGGGAUAUAUUUCUGCAGAUGGUAUACUGUAGCCAGAAAUAUAGCCUUCAUUGAGAUGUUAUUGAUCUUAACAUGUCUUCUUUUUUAUGCUCUACCUUAAGAAGAAAGGAUAUAAUUAACUGAAAUUAUUAUUCUAAUGGAUCCUAAGAACAGAAAGAAAAGCCUACUAGUUCGGGCCAUUGGCCCAUCUAGUCUAGCAUCCUGUUCUCACAAUGGUCAACCAAUGCCUAUAGAAAUCUCCAAAGCAGGACUUGAGCAUAACAACAUUCUCCCCAUUUGUGAUUCCCAGGAACUGGUGCUCAGAAACAUUUUGCCGCCACCAGUAUGUUUUGAUCAGCCCACUCUUUUCAUGAGCUCCCUUUAUUAUCCCCCCCUGCCCACUAGAAGCUCAGUUUGACCUUUGUGACCUGGAAACCUAUUUCUGUGGACAUUAUGCCCUGCUGUCUUGUCCCUGCUGUCUCUGAAAAUCAUGUUGAUCCAAGAUGAUUGGCAUAUGUUCCAAGACCACAUGCCUUCUUUCAGUGUUUAAUUUCUUUCUUUCUUUCUUUUAAAAAAUUAAUUUUAUUCAGAGUUUUCAACAUAAAAUACAAUAAAACUGUUUAAUUUCUAAGGGGAGAGUUGCUGGAUGCUGUACCCUCCUAUCUAAAGCUCCCCACCUCAUUAUGUAGGGGUUGUCUCUGGGUAAGGAAAGCAACUUCUCACGUGUGUGUGUGUGUGUGUGUGUGUGUGUGUGCGCGCGCACACACACACACACACACACACACAGAGUUCUGGGCUGUUUCCUCAAUUUGAAAUAUAUUCCAUCUAAGCUCUAGCUCAAACAGCACCUCUCUGUCCCUGUUUCAGAUAUUUUGGAGUGCCAGUUUAAUUUUACCUCUUGAGAUCGUCUACAUCCUGUUUUCCCCAGGUUCCUUUAAUCUCUUAUGCAUUUCUUAAAGAUUUUCUUAAUUCUUCCCCCCCUUUGUUGGCAGACCCUAGAUCUUCUAACGAACAUUCAUGCUGUGUCCUCCAGUAACUUGAAAGCAAUUAAGCAAAAAGUAACAAUUUUAGACAUCUAUCAUAUAAUUUGAAAUUACAUAUGGAUUUAGAGUUGAGGGAUGGAGAAGAGUGCUUUGAAAGAUUAGUUCUUAAAUUUUGAUUUAAGAACUGACUUAUUAACUGAAAUAAUAUGAAGCGGGUUCCUCUUUUUCUGACCUUUGCAAAGUCUAACCUAGUCAAUUAUUACAGCGAAGCAGGGAAUCGGGGAAUUGCUUUGAAUCAGUCAGAUCCAAACAGAUUUAAGUUUGCAUGGGGCUGAAUAAGACAUUCAUUAAAAAAAUAAGCUAUACCACACAAGGAAUAGUUCUGCAAAACAACAGGGCUGUAAGACACACAGCACACCUCCAAAUGAAGGAAGAUGCCCUUGUACUAUGAGAAGGAAGAACACGAAGAGUCCAAAUUUAAAUUUGAGCAAGCUUUACCUUCGUUUGGAUUUAUAGCCAACCUCCAGAGCUAAACAAACAAACAAACUCCACAUCCUAAAAUGUGAGAGGAAGUAUCCAAGAAGUUAACAACCUCGUGUUUUAUAGAUUGACAAUACAGAAACACCCUAAACUAGGAGAGCUCUCAAAUGCUAAGACCUCCUGCCAACCUAGCAGUUUGAAAGCACAUCAAAGUGCAAGUAGAUAAAUAGGUACCGCUACAGCAGGAAGGUAAAUGGCGUUUCCGUGUGCUGCUCUGGUUUGCCAGAAGCAGCUUUGUCAUGCUGGCCACAUGACCUGGAAGCUGUAUGCCGGCUCCCUCGGCCAAUAACGCGAGAUGAGCGCCGCAACCCCAGAGUCGGUCACGACUGGACCUAAUGGUCAGGGGUCCCUUUACCUUUACAUAUUGAAGUAUGAGUCUAUUGUAUGUACCAUGAAGAGUCUGAAGAGUGGCAUAGAGGACAAAGGAAGCAGAAGCAGAGACAGGCCAGGAUCGAAAAGGCCACUCACGGAACACUGUGCAUACAAUGCAGCUUUUCCACACCCCAUUCCAAAGGCAGUCCCUUGCACCAACUGAAAAACUACUCCUGAUAGUCAGGGGGCUUGCUGCAUUAGGAUUCAAUGUGGGGGUGCAUCUGGAAGGGAAAAUUGCCCUGCUGUGCGUGCCUGGAAGUUUACUCUAUUUGGACACAAGAUGACUGAAUCCUGACUAAGCUCAACAACUAAGACCCUAUUGUUUGUUGAUUGCUGUCCAAUCCUAGUGCAGCCUGAGGUUUAUCAGUCACCAGUUACCUUUUACACAGAGUUGACCCACUGGCAUUAAUUGCCAUGAUUUACUUAAGUCCAUUAAUUUCAGUCGGUCUACUCUGAGUAAAAGUUAGUUGACGACAAACCCCAGGCUGGUAAGCUUCAUCAGCAACUCUAGUGGUAAGUCUCCUCUCCUAUAUGUGCUGUUUUAGUAACUCACCCACAGAAAGAACACAAUAAUUUUAGAGUCCUUAAAUAUUCAUAAUUCUCUUACAAGUCUUGCUAAUGCAAUCAAAAAUCAAAAUUGGCUAUUUCAGAGGUUUUAUUCUGAGGUAACAAGGGGGUGGGAUUCCAGAGUAUUUCAGCUCCCCCUAUUGUUGGCUAUUUUUGGUCAUUUAUGGCACUGUCCCUGUGCAAGCUGCUAAGUGGUGCUUUAUUUUCUUUAUGGAACUUUAAACUUCACACACCAGAGGUAGCAUGUCUGCUAUUGUGCAUCUGACCCCAGGGAAGUGAUCCAGAAGCACCAGAUCUUACAGAGAGUUGCUAAUUCUUAUUUAAAUAUCAUAUUCAUUUCUUGAAUGUGCAAACAUAUCAGAGGCUGAAGUGAGUUCAGAGGUUCUUACAGCAGGAUUGCAUAAAGACAGCUUUAGCAGAUAACACUGGAGGAUGCCAUUUCAAAAAAGUAUGUUCACAAAGAAAGCGUUCCCAUUCUGUGUUUCUUAAACUCUAGAAGACACUGGCCUUCUCUGAAAGGUGCCCAGCUUGACGCAGUCAGCUCCAUUGUCAUCUGACUAGUAGUGCAGUUGAAAGUUGAACACUGAUUAAAUUGUGCAGAGUCCAGAGAUAGUUGAAAGCAUAGCACAAAGUGAAUUGUGGAAAGAAAGAGCUAGUUUCUGAUUUGCGCUGGGAGAGAGCGCAAGCCUUUCUUCCCUGUGCCUGAAGUACUCUUCUUCCAAGUUGUACACACUGUGAAAAGAAGAAUUUGCCUUUGUCACUACAUUUAUUCAGCUUCUUCUUUGUUGUGUAAUCACUGAUCAUUUUGAUCCUGGAAACCACUGACUUGCUAAAAAAAUAUAUAUACUGGAAGUUCAAUUGUAUUGUCCUGCUAAGUGCUAAGGAAAUUUUAACUACUGAUAGGAUUGCCAAAUUUCAAAAGAUAAAAACAAGGACAUCCCAAAAGUUGUUGAGCUUUUUUUUCUUACAGAGACACCCCCAAAAAAUGCAAUUUUUAAUUGACUUGCCUAAGAUCCAGGACAAAAUGCCGCCUUUUGGAAAUCCCCAAUUCCGCCAAUGAAAUCCCGUUAAUUUCUGGGAAAAUCUGUACACAUGGCAGCCCUAGUUGCUGAUCAGGCAUGGAGGCACGGGAUCCUUAAGAGUUGAAACAGACAGAGAUGACUGAGAUCUCUGCCCAACCAUGAAGCAACCUUAGUCAGUCUUUGGGUCAGUCACCCCACAAGGUUGUGGUACGGAUAAAAUGAAAUAACUCACAUAUAUGCCACACUGAAAACCUUGGAGGAAAUAAAAAUGUAAUCAACAGACUCACAAAACUUUUCUGAAGCUUGGGCAAGAUUAAACUUGCCAUCCAAAGAACACACAGGACAGAGUCUUUUCAUCGUAGCAUCCAGGAAGCUUUGGUGUCUCUCACUUUUUUGCUGUCCCUGGUGUGCUUCCGAAACCCUUUUUCAUUCACCAUAACUUUGUUUUUGCUUCUCUUCCCUCUCCUCACACCUUCUGAUUCCUGGCUUUUACCUGUUUGGUUGUUGUUUUAGUUUAAAACUGCAAUCCUACAGACCUAGAGUACGUCCCAUUAAACUCAUUGAGACCUAAUUCUGCAUAGACAUGCCUAGGAACAUGCUAUUCGCUAAUGUUGUGAACUACUUUGUGGGCUCUUGUGAGUGGACAAAAGGCGGGGUAUAAAAUCAUAUGUUUUAAAGAUAACAUAAAGACAGUAGGCCCACUGUCUGGUUCUUCAGCAUGGGGCACUGGCUGAUUAAGAAUGAAGGGAGGGAGGGAAUGCAUAUUACUCUUUCCCUUGACAUUGCCUGCAAUAGGAAAGCUAUAUGCCACAGGAAGAUUGCCUCUACUAAACCGCCUGAAGCUGGACUGCUAAUUUUGCCUCAGCAGAAAAUACCUCUGCAAUUUUAUAUAAACCAAUAAUUUAUAUACACAAUUAAAGUGAAUGAGAAUAAUUCAAGGCGAGGCUUACCGAGUUUCAUUGCCAGUGCCCCAUGCAGAUGAACCAGACAGUGAAAUCAAUACAGAACUUCAUUUGUGUGUGUAUGUUCAAAGAGACACAUUGCAACUUGGGUUGGUUCUUAUCCCUGAUCACAUAUCUAAAAAUACCCAUAGUAAUAUUAAUUAACAAUAAAACGAAUAAUUUUGAUUGCCUUCUGUACUACAGUGCAGUUUCCAAUAAGACAACACUUUCAUCACCUGUAACAGCUUAGUUGGUGGCUUAUGUAAUUCAUUCAAAGUAUGUUAAACUAAAUGAAGCACCACUUCAUUCGUUGGACUGGUCAUGUUCGGAUGCCCGAUGAUCGUCUUCCAAAGCAACUACUCUAUUCCGAACUUAAAAAUGGAAAGCAUAAUGCUGGUGGUCUACAAAAGAGGUUUAAAGACUGUCUCAAGGCAAAUCUAAAAAGAAUGUAGUAUAAACACUGACAACUGGGAAACACUGGCCUGUGAGCGCUCCAGUUGGAGAACAGCCUUUACCAAAGGUGUCAUGGGCUUUGAAGACACUCAAUCUCAGGAUGCAAGGGAGAAACACAAAUCCAUAUUGUGAUCAGCUCUCUCCCAGAAACCAAUGUCUCCACUGUGGAAGGACGUGUGGGUCCAGAAUUGGCCUCCACAUUCACUUAUGGACUCAUUGUUAAAACCAUGUUUAUGGAAGACAAUCUUACUCGGCUACGAGUGAUCGGUAAAGAAGCACAAGUUAUUUCUUUAACCGGAAGCAGGUAAUGCUACUGCCGCCUUCCAUUCUGCUAUAAGUAAUGUUCUGGUUAAAGGGUCUUAAAUUAUUACAUGAAAUAAAAUCAUUUGUAGGUUAUCUAGUUUAAUCCUGGAAAGAUUGCUCACUGCCAGCUGAUGGGGAUCUGUGUAGUCCAGCAUGGCUGUGGUGGGUCAAUGUGGCUCCCUGGCUUCAUUGUGGCUGGGGGAGGACAUCACUUCCUCCUCUGACAGCCACACUGACUGCUGGCGCUCACCCCUGGUUGCAGCCAAUCAUGGAAGUCCUAGGGGGCAUGGUUUGGGGUGAAGACCGGAGGAAAGACUUCUUCCUUCUCUGCUCUUUGAAGGCACUGGAUUGGAACCUUAGUAUAAGGAUCCUCUUUAAAGGGAUCCAAGGGGAGGUGGUUCUGGUUGCUCAGAUGGGGGCUGAUGGGGCUAUAGCAUACCCAAAAUGGUGAUCUUGGAUGGGUCCCCCCAAUUUGUACAUCAUAGGGUGGUCCUUAAAGUUGAUUAACCUUGCCAAAUCAAUCCACUCAGGAUACACACCCAAUGCCUGCACCGAAACCUGCUAACAUCUGUAACAUCCAUUGGAGUUGUGGCCUGUUUAAAUCCCAAUUGGUUGCGCUGUGUUUAUUGCAACUAUAUCAUGCCUGCUCUGGUCCAUGGGGUCACGAAGAGUCGGACACGACUUAACGACUAAACAAUAACAAAUAUCAUGCCUUAGCCCCACAGCCUGCUGUGACUCCAAUGCUCCUUGGCCCACAACUUAAAGCCAUGGUGGAAUAUUUCUGAACAGCUGCCUGGAUAUGGUAUCUAGGUGAUCUGGACCUAGUGAUGAAAAGGUCACCAGGAAAGAGCACUAGGAACAUGCUCACAUCCCAUUCAGAGCAUAUGAGCGUUAUUUUUUUUAUAGAUGCAAUGCCUAUUUCUGAAAUAAACACUGGUACCUGAUACCAGCAUGGCUUUGGUUUAGGUCAAGCACUGUGCUCCGAUCAAACACAGUUCUUAAUAUCUUUCUUCAGCAUUUUAAAAUAUUGUUAAAAGCUGGCAUAGCUCCAUUCCUCUGCCCAUUUACUUCAGGUUGUGUAAGACCACUUUAUAGUUUGCAGGUUCAUUAUUGCAGCCAACAGUUUAGUAUAUUCGUCCAUUUGCUGUGAACAUAAUCUAUAUAAUGUGUUAUUUCCCCCACAUGGGGCGAGUCAUUGAAUGCAGAAGGCACAGAAAGUGCCCAGAGACAAAAAUCGCCAUCCUUUUCAUUGCAGGGAAACUGGGGAAGAAAAAUAUCUCCUGCAGUUAACAGAAACAACAACAAAAAACUUUACAAAAUGGUUCUCAUUUGGAUAACUACAGAAUCCUCUCUAAAUCUUGGGGAUUUAGCCAGAGAACAUAUUGGUUCCAGCAGACUAUGUAAAGUUAAUUAAGGAUGAUUAAUGGAGCAUUUUCCUUCCAAUGAUAUCUGUGACAGAACAAAGCUGUCUCAGGCUUGUCAAGCAGAAUUUGAGUUGAAUGAGUAUUUAUGUGAUCAGAUCUGAAGGGCUGCCUCUUGACAGAGCAGGGAUUCAUCAAUCAAUUGCACCGGCUUGCAGUGGUGGGAAAUUGGUCUAUCAGCAUAGCUAUACUCCCAUCCCCCAUUUUUUCAUUCUAUCAUCCCUCCGGCUACAAUGCAUCUUUAACUUGUACCUCUGACCACCUUAAGAGCUAUCAGAGAGAAGUAAAAGCAAGGGCUAAAACAUCUAUUAUGGGGGUGAUUUCUCAGCUGUACUCAUACAAUUGAUUUCUUUUAAGCAGAAGUCCAAGCAGUCACUGUAAAAUGAUGUGUGCCUGUUCAAUGAAUUAAUUGGUUUAAUAACAGUUUAGUUUUUGAGCCUGAUUUUUUUAAGUGUUUCUUCAUUUGCUGAUUGCUAAUUCCUCUACGGAAUCUUCCCCCCACUCCAGAUUAGCCUCUUUAUUGAAAUAUGUAAAAGCUCUUCAUUUAAAUUCUAUUUAUUCUUAAUUUGAGUUCUAAGAUAUCCAGAAGGGCUCAAGGCAAAUUAGAGUCUUAGGGGGGGAAAUCCAAACAAACUGGUGAAACAAAAUACACAGCAACAUAAUGAAGAAUUGCACACCAUCAGAUUUGGGUUGAUUCAUGUGGCCAUUUUUGAGGCCUUAAUGCUGCCAAGAGUUGAUUUCUCAUUUUAUUAUAAUAAUUUAUUAAAUUUAUAUACCAGCCUUCAUCUGGUUUACAGUACAAAGAUAUAUAACAUAUUAGCAUAACGAACAAAACAAUACCACUCAGUUUUGGAAUAUGAAAGAAUUGCUGUGGAAGAAGACUUAUUAUUAUUAUUAUUAUUAUUAAUCUGAGAGUUAGCUUUCAGGGAAAUUCUCAGGUGUGAAGGCAUUCCAUAAUUUUGAGGCAACCCCAAUCAUGCUUCUGUUUGGGUCUUCCCAUAAAGGUCUGGCCCACACUAUGUACAGUAUAGCAGAAUACAUUAUUUCCAGCAAAAAGUCCUGAGCUCAUCCAAGGAAAGCGUGAAACGUGCACAGAAAACAACUUCUUUGGAUGAGACCUACCCUGAGAUAGCGUUGAAUAGCAGAGGGAGUGGGAAAAGAGGACCUUCUGGAACAGUAUUUAUCCUAGAACCUUGGACAACUUUGGGCAACAGCCUCUGGUACUGUGUUGGCUCAGGAUGUCCUUCCUCAGUUUGGAAGAGGGAGCACUGAGUAAGGGGAAUAUGAAAAAAGAUGUUGGACUUGGUCCUCACAGCUCCAAACCCAUCCAUGCUUAAUGCUGCCUCUGACAUGUAGCAUACGGCAAAAUCUGACAUUGGGAAUUGUGUGUGCAAAUCAUAUGAAGAAUAUAAUUUGAAUUCUGGAGAUUAUCUCAGCAAGUUGUCCUUCCUAUAGUGAUUGCUGAGCAGAUACAUUUUCCAUAGCUAACUAUGAGAGUACCAUUGUGUGUGUGCAUGCCACAAGCAAACCCAAAAUGUCUAAAUAUUUAACCAAUGUUAUUUCAAAGAACUUCAUUAUUUAUCUUCUUGAUGGUUUAUGUUAUAUCACAUUCUCUUAGUCUCCUCUUUCUCUCCGUGCAGUUGUGGUUUAUCAUGAAAUAGCACAUCUGCAGCCACAGCCAAGUUGGACCAGUUGCAAAAGAUGCGUUUGGAUAUCAUAAACAUGACAAAAGAUAGAUUACAUUGAGCCUUUCUCCAUGUUUAACCAUUUUAAUAUGUUUCCUAUGCAGAAGAGGCUCUAAAUUUACUUAAUAUAUGUUAGCACUUAGGCACAUGGUUAGGAACAUGACUCGGGUCUUAACCUAUUCGUAUAUAAAUGAGGAGCUUCCUGUCUGAGUACAAGAAAGAGGGAGAAUUUAUGUCAAACAAUCAGGAAUUUAAUACAUAGUGCUCUAUUAGGAUGUCCACUUUGUGUACAUACUCUUAAAGGCAUGAUUACGAAUAACUUCACUUCUUAUAAACAUUGUGACUGAAGAAAUUACUCACAGAUACAACAAAAAGGGAAAGAAAGGUAGGAGAUUUUGAGCCGCAGCCAAUAAGGGAAUUACUUUCCCUGAAAAGGUUAAAAAUCACCGCAUUUAUUUUGCGUGCCAUAAUAUUUGUCUUUGAAGGUUUAGUUUUCUUCAGAAACCAAGGGGAAGAUGUUGCAUGUGGCAAGAUUUUAGUGACCUAGGUCCAAAGUUAUAUCAUAGAUCCAACACUUUCCCCCGACAGCUUUGGUUUUAAUGUCAGACAAAAUCUCCGUGGUGAGUAGAUAUUUACAUCAU